UUAAUUCAGUUCUAUAAUGAUCUGUUGCAUGUGCUCUGCUUAUUUUUUAAGUCUGCAUUCAGUGGUGGCUGUGGCUGAGUGAUGCAGAUUCCAAAAAUAACGAGGGAAGGGCAGGUUUGUACAUUGAUGAAGGUCACACCUAACAGGAAAACGAGUGCAUGGGAUCACAUGAAUCUGGAUAAAGCCCUUUCUCUAGUGAUCUAAGACGUCUUAAAUUAAUUUACAGAGGGAGUGCAUCAUACAAGAAUAAUAACAUUACAAACGAUGUGACUGGACUCCACUAAUUUAAACUAGAGCCGAUCACCAUCCACAAUUCAGACUGGUGGGCUGGUUAUGUACUCCCUCCGUCCGGAAAAAGUUGUCCAGAGCUUAGUUCAUUUCAAAUUUUACAAAAAAAACCUUCCGGUUUUAAAUCUAGUGCUAAUCCCCCCCUCACCUCUGCUUCUUCCUCCUUCGACCAAGCGGCCGUCAUAGCCACCGCCGGCAGCCACCGCCAGCAGCCGCCGUAGAAAGAGCGGGCGACCACCUCCGCCGACGCCCACCUGCGCCGUAGCCCACCUGCGGUUGCUCAGCCGCUACGAACGUGGGCCAUCCGCACGGAGGCGAGCUGCCCCGCCGCCCAGCUGAGGCUGCUCCUCGACCACCUUGACGGGCGCCUCCUCCUCGUGGCCCUGCUCGCGUCCCUGGCCCUGCUCGCCGGUUCCUCACCCUCGCGGCAACCCCAGCCGCCGCUGCCGACCCCGGUCGCCGCUCCCCUCUUGAAGAAUUCGGCAGGCAGGGCAAGGCGGAUCUUCCCCGGCGGAGAGAGGACCACGCAAACCUGCUGAUGCCACAGCCGAUUGCUUCUGCUGAUUGCUUCUGCUGAUUGCCUCUGCUGAUUGCUUCUGCCCUCGACUGCUGAUUGCCUCUGCCCUCGAGCACCUCGACUGCUGAUUGCCUCUGCUGCUGCUGUUGGCUGCAGGUACAGUGCCAAUUGCAGUAUCAAUUUCAUUUUGUCAAAGAAGUACUCCAUCAGCGUCAAUUGCAGUGUCAAUUGGAGUAUUAAAAUUCUCAAUUGCAAUGCUGAUCUACUGCUGAUGUUAUCUGACAUUUACAGUGUUUUGUGUCUGUCAAUCAUACUCCAUUCAGUGUCCUGUGUCAGAAAUUUGGUGAAGUGAAGGUGAGGUGAAGUAACUGAAUUCACUAGCAUAAUCUGAAUCAAACAAAGCAUAGUUUGAAUUCACUAGCAUAACCUGUUGUAGAAACUAGAAUGAGCCUUCUUUUUUUACCCGCCCCCGACCCCGACGCCUCUGGUACUCCGCCUCUGUUCCUGCGAAAUCUUGAUCACAUUAGAGUAAAUUGUUCAUUUGUUCCUGCAAAAGCUUGAUUGCAAAUAAAAUUAACAGGUUAUACAAAGAGUUUAAUUGAUACAGAGAGUUUAAUUGGAUUACAAUCGAAAUUCAUUGUCAGGGUCAAAAUUCAAAGUAUUCCAUGCUUGUCCAAUUGAAUUAAAAACAUGUCCCUAAAAUUGGAAUAUUUGAAUUAGCUAGGUUUAUUCUUCUUCUUCUUCAUAAACAGAAAAAAGAUGAAUAUUGCUGGUCUACUUCAUAAAAUGAAUAUUCUUCAGUAAACACUUGUAAAUCUAGAGUGGUUAUAAACUUAUUUUCUGGAAUCAUCAAUGUGCAUUCAUGCUAAAUGUUGAUAAUUCUUUGAACUUUGAGAAAGAAGAUGAAUGAGCAUCAAUGUGCAUUUAGGCUAAUUCUUUGAACUUUGAUCAUCAAUCCAAAUACACUAUGAUCAAUCCAGAGAAUCAUCAAAGUUGUUCCUAAACUGAAGAUUAUCCUAGUCUGAACAUGUCACAACAUUACUGUCAAAAUUUCAGACUUGACAAUACUAAACUGAAUAUUGUUCCUAAACUGAAGAUUAUUUAGGAACACACUUGUUCCUAAACUUGAUGUUGAUUUAGGAACACAAUCUCUAUCAUGUGUAUGUCUUUUUGAGGGAGUACUGUACCAUCCCAAAACUGAAACUGAAUUUUCUCCUUCCCUGUCACCACUUGCGUACUCACUUAAUUUUUGAACUUUAAUGAUAUCUCUACUGCUUGCUUUACUUCAAUGUUUUCAUUGUUUAUUGGUUUAAAAGGCAAGGCAUAUUGGUUUUCUUCAACUAAAGCAAGGCAAGAAAUAAAAUGGAUACUGUUGCUAGAUACUGUUGCUUAUAUGUUCAGGGGUACUAAAAAUGCACAUUGCUCAUAUGUUCAGAAGAUCCUUACUGUAACCAAAUCAUAUGCUAGCUACUGUCUAUUGCUUUGCCUAUGUUCCUUUAUUUUUGAGAAUGAGCUAGCUUCUGAAGAAAUAAAAUGGAUACUGUAUUAGUCAAAAAUAAAUGGCUCACUUGUUCCUGGCAGAAAAUCAGGACUAAAUGUUGUCAUCGCCUCCUCUGUUGAUUUGAAGCACCAGCAGUACGGCAAGAAGAGUUGGCAAUUGAAGCAGCAGCGCCACGAAUUGAAGAAGCAGCAGCGCCACGAAUUGAAGAAGCAGCAGCAACACAUCAAUGGCAACAGCAGGCAAUUCUGGAGACAAGAGGGACAACAUAUCAGUUGAAAUAACAGCAGCAGAUCAACAGAAAUAGCAGCAGCUUGCCGGUGGCCCUACUGAAUACAGCAACGCAGAGAGCAUCAACCAAAAUGAACUUUAGUCCAUGAAAGUGCAGAGUUUAAGCUCUAUUCAGCAAAUGAAAACAGCAAUACAGACUAACUCUCUUGCUCUCUUGCUCGAUGGUCUCGACGAGUAAUUUAGAUUACAGAAUAAGAAUAAGAACAAGGGCUUGAGGAUGUUCCUAUGAAUUUUGUUGUGUCAUGUUUCUUUAAGGAAUGGCCAUGCAACAGAAGAACUGAGAGAGGGAGUAUAUGACUUCUCUCAAUAAAAUUCAAUUAAAUUAUGGAGCUGAAUCUGACCUCCAGCUCUACAAACUGAAAAUUAUGAAGCUGAAAAUUAUAGAGGCUGUCUCAUACAGUAAAAUUCAGUGAAAUUUUACAAACUGAAAAUUAUGGAACUGGUUCUGAUUUCCAAUUCAGACUCCAGACACCACAGGCACCAAAAUUGAGCAGGGAGCAGUGAGACCAUUAAAUUUAGCUAGACAAGAUUUCAUAGGAGAGAGCCUGUAGGGGUGUGUGCUCUGCACGUACCCUAUGAAGAGGAGAGAUCCGCCUUCAUAUCCGCCGGAAAAGGAAAGGUGAGAUUUUGCUUUUCCCAAUUUGAAAUUUUGCCGGCGGCUCCAACAUCUACAUCGAGGCGCUGGUGGAGGCCGACGGCGUCUUCCGCGCCGCCCACGACUGCCUCUUCCUCUGGCUGGACGCCGCGCUGGGGAUGCUGGAGUGGUACACAUUCGGCCUCGUCGCGGGCAGGGAUAGGGAAAUGUGAGUAUUUUAGGGAACAAAUCGACGGGCAGGGAUGGAGGGAGCGGUGGAGCUGCGGGUCGUGGCGGAGCUGCGCGGUGGAGCUGGGGGUCGCGGCGGCGCGGUGUGGUGGAGCUGCGGGUCGCGGCGGCGCGGCGUGGUGGAGCUGCGCGGCGUCACCGGUGUCGCUGGGGAGCAGUGGAGCUGCAUGAGCGGAGUUGUCGAAGGGGAUGAUGGACUGCGGGUUCGGUCGGAGUUUCUUCGAGGUUUUUUUUGCAAAACUGUCACGCGGACAACUUUUCCCGGACGGAGGGAGUAUAAUACAAUCAUCAUCAUAUUAGUUCUGUCCGAGUGUUGGAUGAGAUAACGGACCAUCAUAUUAGCUCUGUCUCACUUUAGAUGAGAUGACACUUGAGUUCUGACAGAUAGAUUUCCAACCAAAAGCGACGAAUCCAGUGUUCCAUAAUCAUAUUCUCGCGAAAACAAAUCU
RNAcentral lists this long non-coding RNA (3866 nucleotides) under Triticum aestivum (bread wheat). RNAcentral describes it as "long non-coding RNA (TAES_LNC027726)". The record is from RNAcentral. Lineage: Eukaryota; Viridiplantae; Streptophyta; Magnoliopsida; Poales; Poaceae.